UACGGAAGGCAGCAGUGGGGAAUAUUGGACAAUGGGCGAAAGCCUGAUCCAGCCAUGCCGCAUGAGUGAAGAAGGCCUUCGGGUUGUAAAGCUCUUUUAGUGAGAAAGAUAAUGACGGUACUCACAGAAGAAGUCCUGGCUAACUCCGUGCCAGCAGCCGCGGUAAUACGGAGAGGGCUAGCGUUAUUCGGAAUUAUUGGGCGUAAAGAGCGCGUAGGCUGAUUAGUAAGUUAAAAGUGAAAUCCCAAAGCUUAACUUUGGAAUUGCUUUUUAAAACUGCUAGUUUUAGAGAUUUGAAAGAGGAUAGAGGAAUUCCUAGUGUAGAGGUGAAAUUCGUAAAUAUUAGGAGGAACACCAGUGGCGAAGGCGUCUAUCUGGUUCAAAUCUGACGCUGAGGCGCGAAGGGCGUGGGGAGCGAAACAGGGAUUAGAUACC
Molecule: ribosomal RNA, 435 nt
Filed under: uncultured bacterium
Lineage: Bacteria
Description: bacterial SSU rRNA
Rfam family: Bacterial small subunit ribosomal RNA
Source: RNAcentral